This 87-nucleotide unclassified non-coding RNA is filed under the name Pseudomonas synxantha. Lineage: Bacteria; Pseudomonadati; Pseudomonadota; Gammaproteobacteria; Pseudomonadales; Pseudomonadaceae. The record is from RNAcentral.
GUGGGAGGGGGCUUGCUCCCGAUAGCAGUGUGUCAGUCACUUAUAUGUUUACUGACCCACCGCAAUCGGGAGCAAGCCCCCUCCCAC